CUGGGUGUUCUAGAGUAGGGGGACAAGGUGGUUAGGAACCUGGUACAGUAGGGGGACUAUGUGGAUAGGAAACUGGUACAGUAGGAGGACUAGGUGGUUAGGAAACUGGUACAGUAGGGGGACUAGGUGGUUAGGAAACUGGUACAGUAGGGGGACUAUGUGGUUAGGAAACUGGUACAGUAGUUGUAGGAGGACUAGGUGGUUAAGAAACUGGUACAGUAGGGAGACUAGGUGGUUAGGAAACUGGUACAGUAGGGGGACUAGGUGGUUAGGAAACUGGUACAGUAGGGGGACUAGGUGGUUAGGAAACUGGUACAGUAGGGGGACUAGGUGGUUAGGAAACUGGUACAGUAGGGGGACUAGGUGGUUAGGAAACUGGAACAGUAGGAGGACUAGGUGGUUAGGAAACUGGUAUAGUAGGGAGACUAUGUGGAUAGGAAACUGGUACAGUAGU
This is a long non-coding RNA of Oncorhynchus tshawytscha (Chinook salmon), 454 nucleotides long. The record is from Ensembl. NCBI's taxonomy places the organism in Eukaryota, Metazoa, Chordata, Actinopteri, Salmoniformes, Salmonidae.